CUCUGUCGCAUAAAAAACCAACCUAAUACAAUACCGAAUAUGACACAUUCUAGUACUACGAAUCUGGACAUACAGUAUUAGAAUAUGUCUAUAUUCGUUGUACUAUAAUAUGUUAUAUCCAGUACUAGAUUCGUUUUUUUUCAUGACGGA
This 150-nucleotide unclassified non-coding RNA is filed under the name Oryza sativa (Asian cultivated rice). Its description in RNAcentral is "partial microRNA MIR468n-1 precursor". Lineage: Eukaryota; Viridiplantae; Streptophyta; Magnoliopsida; Poales; Poaceae. The record is from RNAcentral.